GGCUUGGUGGCGGAGCGGUUUCUGUAUCUGAAUUUGCUUGGUUUGUCCAGAAGACUUAUGCAGAACAUCGCUGGUUCAACUCCAGCCCAAGCCA
This is a non-coding RNA of Mycena rebaudengoi, 94 nucleotides long. The record is from the annotation of a GenBank genome assembly. NCBI's taxonomy places the organism in Eukaryota, Fungi, Basidiomycota, Agaricomycetes, Agaricales, Mycenaceae.